This is a long non-coding RNA of Amblyraja radiata (thorny skate), 543 nucleotides long. RefSeq lists it as uncharacterized. Lineage: Eukaryota; Metazoa; Chordata; Chondrichthyes; Rajiformes; Rajidae. The transcript is spliced from 3 exons. The record is from RefSeq and is a predicted model, not a curated record.
ACUCCACCCAGCGUCGGCGGGGUCAGCGGAGACCAGCUGCGCUGCCGCGUCCUCGGCGGAGACUGGAAGCUGCCGAAGGAUCCGUCGCGGGACCGCCGACUCACGACUGGCUGAGGUUCCACCCCGAUGCUGCGCCGACCACAACCCGAUCGGGUGUGCUGCCAGCGCAAGGGAUCUUCGGGGUCCACUCGGUGAGAACAUCUUUGGGCAGCCGCCCCAGGUAAGCCCGCUGUAUCGGGAGGCGAGACCUUGAGCAGCGGCCGGCAGGAAGGAAAAGGUGGCUCAGUAUGGGAUCAAUCUCAGAAGCUUAACAAUGUGGCUGCUUACAUGGGAAUUACUCGGGAUCACUCGUUACCAAACCUUGGAGUUUGCACACCAUUGGACGACCUGCAACAGGAAUUGUGGGGAGAUAAACAAAAAGUGUACAGUUCGUCGAUGGGGGGAAGGUUGCAGCUAAUAACCUUCACGGCUGAUUGAUUGAUGCGCUGCAGCCUCCGGAUGACAUGCUUGGUGGCUAAGCCAAACCAGACCAUGAUGGAGAAG